GAUGAACGCUGGCGGCGUGCCUAAUACAUGCAAGUCGAGCGAACGGACGAGAAGCUUGCUUCUCUGAUGUUAGCGGCGGACGGGUGAGUAACACGUGGAUAACCUACCUAUAAGACUGGGAUAACUUCGGGAAACCGGAGCUAAUACCGGAUGAUAUUUUGAACCGCAUGGUUCAAAAGUGAAAGACGGUCUUGCUGUCACUUAUAGAUGGAUCCGCGCUGCAUUAGCUAGUUGGUAAGGUAACGGCUUACCAAGGCAACGAUGCAUAGCCGACCUGAGAGGGUGGUCGGCCACACUGGGGCUGAGACACGGUCCAGACUCCUACGGGAGGCAGCAGUAGGGAAUCUUCCGCAAUGGGCGAAAGCCUGACGGAGCAACGCCGCGUGAGUGAUGAAGGGCUUCGGAUCGUAAAACUCUGUUAUUAGGGAAGAACAUAUGUGUAAGUAACUGUGCACAUCUUGACGGUACCUAAUCAGAAAGCCACGGCUAACUACGUGC
This 498-nucleotide ribosomal RNA is filed under the name uncultured bacterium. RNAcentral's name for it is "partial 16S ribosomal RNA". It matches the Rfam family "Bacterial small subunit ribosomal RNA", at positions 28 to 508 of the family's 1533-position model. The record is from RNAcentral.